Molecule: ribosomal RNA, 527 nt
Filed under: Sirocalodes nigroterminatus
Lineage: Eukaryota; Metazoa; Arthropoda; Insecta; Coleoptera; Curculionidae
Description: partial 16S ribosomal RNA
Rfam family: Bacterial large subunit ribosomal RNA
Source: RNAcentral
AAAAACAUGGCCUAUUGAUUAUAAUUUUAGGUCUAGCCUGCUCAAUGAAUUUUAAAUGGCCGCAGUAUCUUAACUGUGCAAAGGUAGCAUAAUCAUUAGUUUUUUAAUUGAAAGCUGGAAUGAAAGGUCGGAUGAGAAAAUAGCUGUCUCUAUAAAAAUUUUUUAGAACUUUAUUUUUAAGUUAAAAAGCUUAAAUACUUGUAAAAGACGAGAAGACCCUAUAGAGUUUUAUAUUUAUAUUUAAUGUAUCUUUUAGUAUUGUAAAAUUUAUUAAAUUAUAAUAUUUGGUUGGGGUGAUUGGAAAAUUAAUUAAACUUUUCUUUUAGUUAAACAUUAAUUUAUGAAUAUUUGAUCCUUUUUAGAGAUUAUAAGAUUAAAUUACCUUAGGGAUAACAGCGUAAUUUUUUUUGAGAGUUCUUAUCGAAAGAAAAGAUUGCGACCUCGAUGUUGGAUUAAAAUAAAUUUUUGGUGUAGGAGCUAAAUAAAUUAGGUCUGUUCGACCUUUAAAAUUUUACUUGAUCUGAGUU